UACGUAGGGGGCUAGCGUUGUCCGGAUUUAUUGGGCGUAAAGAGCGCGUAGGCGGUCCGGUAAGUCGGUUGUGAAAGUCGGGGGCUCAACCCUCGGAUGCCGAUCGAUACUGUCGGGCUAGAGUCCGGAAGAGGCGAGUGGAAUUCCUGGUGUAGCGGUGAAAUGCGCAGAUAUCAGGAGGAACACCAAUUGCGAAGGCAGCUCGCUGGGACGUUACUGACGCUGAGACGCGAAAGCGUGGGGAGCAAACAGG
RNAcentral lists this ribosomal RNA (253 nucleotides) under uncultured bacterium. RNAcentral describes it as "partial 16S ribosomal RNA". It matches the Rfam family "Bacterial small subunit ribosomal RNA", at positions 524 to 776 of the family's 1533-position model. The record is from RNAcentral.